This 294-nucleotide long non-coding RNA is filed under the name Homo sapiens (human). Its description in RNAcentral is "HSALNT0282390". The record is from RNAcentral. Lineage: Eukaryota; Metazoa; Chordata; Mammalia; Primates; Hominidae.
GUGGAGAUGUCCUUUCAUCUGAGGAGCUCAUAUCCAUGUCCUGUAACCACCAGAGACCCACUUCCUUUAAGAAAGACAUGGUAUGUCAAUGGCAUGCCAAAGGGGUCAACCUAGACACAAUAAUCGUAAAUACCAAAUUACCUUCCCUCCCCAGACACCAGCUGACUGUAAUUCUCCAGUAUCACGUCUGCACACACAGUCCUCUGAGCAGUGUCCAAGUGCCACUGCUGCCAGGUGAAGUCCUCAGUCUCAUCCUCCAAUGUCACUGGUCCCUGCAUCAACACAUGAUGGCCC